UACAUGGGGUGCAAACGUUGCUCGGAAUUAUUGGGCGUAAAGAGCUCGUAGGCGGUCUGUCGCGUCGGAUGUGAAAGCCCGGGGCUUAACCCCGGGUCUGCAUUCGAUACGGGCAGACUAGAGUGUGGUAGGGGAGAUCGGAAUUCCUGGUGUAGCGGUGAAAUGCGCAGAUAUCAGGAGGAACACCGGUGGCGAAGGCGGUUCUCUGGGCCUGUACUGACGCUGAGGAGCGAAAGCGUGGGGAGCGAACAGG
This 253-nucleotide ribosomal RNA is filed under the name uncultured bacterium. RNAcentral's name for it is "partial 16S ribosomal RNA". It matches the Rfam family "Bacterial small subunit ribosomal RNA", at positions 524 to 776 of the family's 1533-position model. The record is from RNAcentral.